This 75-nucleotide transfer RNA is filed under the name Candidatus Ventrimonas merdavium. RNAcentral's name for it is "tRNA-Arg". It matches the Rfam family "tRNA". Rfam says of the family: Transfer RNA (tRNA) molecules are approximately 80 nucleotides in length. Lineage: Bacteria; Bacillati; Bacillota; Clostridia; Lachnospirales; Lachnospiraceae. The record is from RNAcentral.
GUUCUCGUAGUUAAAUGGAUAUAACAGGCGCCUCCUAAGCGCCCGUUGUGGGUUCGAUUCCCGCCGGGAACGCCA